CCUACGGGAGGCAGCAGUGAGGAAUAUUGGUCAAUGGCCGGAAGGCUGAACCAGCCAAGCCGCGUGAAGGACGAAGGUGCCAAGCAUUGUAAACUUCUUUUGUCAAGGGACACAAUCAGGCUCGAGAGCCUGACCGAGGGUACUUUACGAAACAGCAUCGGCUAACUCCGUUCCAGCAGCCGCGGUAAUACGGAGGAUGCGAGCGUUAUCCGGAUUUAUUGGGUUUAAAGGGUGCGUAGGCGGAUUGUUAAGUCAGCGGUAAAAGCCCGGGGCUCAACCCCGGCGAGCCGUUGAUACUGGCUAUCUUGAGAUGGAGAGAGGUAUGCGGAAUUCGCAGUGAAGCGGUGAAAUGCGUAGAUAUGUCGAAGAACUCCGAUGGCGAAGGCAGCAUACCGGCGGCGAUCUGACGCUGAGGCACGAAAGCGUGGGUAUCGAACAGGAUUAGAUACCCUAGUAGUC
Molecule: ribosomal RNA, 459 nt
Filed under: uncultured bacterium
Lineage: Bacteria
Description: partial 16S ribosomal RNA
Rfam family: Bacterial small subunit ribosomal RNA
Source: RNAcentral